Molecule: ribosomal RNA, 722 nt
Filed under: uncultured eukaryote
Lineage: Eukaryota
Description: bacterial SSU rRNA
Rfam family: Eukaryotic small subunit ribosomal RNA
Source: RNAcentral
CAUCAUGUAUGCUUUUCUAAUUAUAAUGGGGUGGGGAUGAGAGUAAAGUAAUAGUCUUUCACUCGGGCCAACCACCGGAGUGUACUUUGAGGGAAUUUAAAGUUGUUCAUAGCAAAUAAGUGGUUGAAUACUACAGCAUGGAAUAACAAAUAGGACUUUGGUAUGUUUGUGGAGUAGAGAAACCAAAGUAAAGAUGAAUAGGGACAGUUGGGGGCAUUGGAAUUGAUAGUCAGAGGUGAAAUUCAUGGAUUUAUCAAAGACCAACAAAGGCGAAAGCAUUUGCCAAGGAUGUUUUCAUUGAUCAAGAACGAAAGUCAGGGGAUCGAAGACGAUUAGAUACCGUCGUAGUCUUGACCGUAAACGAUGCCGACUUGGGGAGGUGCGAGAUGAGAAGCGGAUCUCAACCAAAGGAGAAAUCAAAGUGUAUGGGUUCUGGGGGGAGUAUAGUCGCAAGGCCGAAACUUGAAGGAAUUGACGGAAGGGCACCACCAGGAGUGGAGCCUGCGGCUUAAUUUGACUCAACACGGGAAAACUUACCAGGUCCGGACAUGAUGAGGAUUGACAGAUUGAGAGCACUUUUAAGAUUUCAUGGGAGGUGGUGCAUGGCCGUUCUUAGUUGGUGGAGUGAUUUGUCAGGUUAAUUCCGAUAACGAGCGAGACCCUGUGAUGACGGUAAUGAUUGAGUAUGUAAAUACGCGAGACGUUUCUUCAUCGACACCCCA